CUUGACCGAGCCCAGCAGCAACGGCUGCUCACGGUCCUGGCCGUAGGUGGCGAUGAUCGCCUGCGCCUC
RNAcentral lists this antisense RNA (69 nucleotides) under Amycolatopsis sp. YIM 10. RNAcentral's name for it is "ASpks TB sRNA". It matches the Rfam family "ASpks TB sRNA". The record is from Rfam by way of RNAcentral. Lineage: Bacteria; Bacillati; Actinomycetota; Actinomycetes; Pseudonocardiales; Pseudonocardiaceae.